UGGAAAGCUUAAAGGUACAUUGGU
RNAcentral lists this non-coding RNA (24 nucleotides) under Arabidopsis thaliana (thale cress). Lineage: Eukaryota; Viridiplantae; Streptophyta; Magnoliopsida; Brassicales; Brassicaceae. The record is from RNAcentral.